This 716-nucleotide ribosomal RNA is filed under the name uncultured Bacilli bacterium. RNAcentral's name for it is "bacterial SSU rRNA". It matches the Rfam family "Bacterial small subunit ribosomal RNA", at positions 25 to 721 of the family's 1533-position model. The record is from RNAcentral. Lineage: Bacteria; Bacillati; Bacillota; Bacilli.
CAGGACGAACGCUGGCGGCGUGCCUAAUACAUGCAAGUCGAGCGAAGUUUUUCUGGUGCUUGCACUAGAAAAACUUAGCGGCGAACGGGUGAGUAACACGUAAAGAACCUGCCUCAUAGACUGGGACAACUAUUGGAAACGAUAGCUAAUACCGGAUAACAGUAUUUCUCGCAUGAGAGAUAUUUAAAAGUUGGUUAUGCUAACACUAUGAGAUGGCUUUGCGGUGCAUUAGCUAGUUGGUGGGGUAAAGGCCCACCAAGGCGACGAUGCAUAGCCGACCUGAGAGGGUGAUCGGCCACACUGGGACUGAGACACGGCCCAGACUCCUACGGGAGGCAGCAGUAGGGAAUCUUCCGCAAUGGGCGAAAGCCUGACGGAGCAACGCCGCGUGAGUGAAGAAGGAUUUCGGUUCGUAAAGCUCUGUUGUUAGGGAAGAAUGGAUAUGUAGUAACUAUACAUAUAAGAGACGGUACCUAACCAGAAAGCCACGGCUAACUACGUGCCAGCAGCCGCGGUAAUACGUAGGUGGCAAGCGUUGUCCGGAAUUAUUGGGCGUAAAGCGCGCGCAGGUGGUUUAAUAAGUCUGAUGUGAAAGCCCACGACUCAACCGUGGAGGGUCAUUGGAAACUGUUAAACUUGAGUGCAGGAGAGAAAAGUGGAAUUCCUAGUGUAGCGGUGAAAUGCGUAGAGAUUAGGAGGAACACCAGUGGCGAAGG